UCCCCCGAAAGUUGUUUAGAAGAGUUUUGGUUCUUCGGGGGACAAAGUGACAGGUGGUGCAUGGUUGUCGUCAGCUCGUGUCGUGAGAUGUUGGGUUAAGUCCCGCAACGAGCGCAACCCUUAUCUUUAGUUGCCAUCAUUAGGUUGGGCACUCUAGAGAGACUGCCGGUGACAAACCGGAGGAAGGUGGGGAUGACGUCAAAUCAUCAUGCCCCUUAUGAUUUGGGCUACACACGUGCUACAAUGGAUGGUACAAAGGGCAGCAAAACCGCGAGGUCAAGCAAAUCCCAUAAAACCAUUCUCAGUUCGGAUUGUAGUCUGCAACUCGACUACAUGAAGCUGGAAUCGCUAGUAAUCGUAGAUCAGCAUGCUACGGUGAAUACGUUCCCGGGUCUUGUACACACCGAGGG
RNAcentral lists this ribosomal RNA (410 nucleotides) under uncultured Macrococcus sp. Its description in RNAcentral is "bacterial SSU rRNA". It matches the Rfam family "Bacterial small subunit ribosomal RNA", at positions 987 to 1396 of the family's 1533-position model. The record is from RNAcentral. Lineage: Bacteria; Bacillati; Bacillota; Bacilli; Caryophanales; Staphylococcaceae.